AACGAACGCUGGCGGCAGGCCUAACACAUGCAAGUCGAGCGCCCAGCAAUGGGAGCGGCAGACGGGUGAGUAACGCGUGGGAACCUUCCCGAUAGUACGGAAUAGCUCAGGGAAACUUGAGGUAAUACCGUAUACGCCCGCAAGGGGAAAGAUUCAUCGCUAUCGGAUGGGCCCGCGUAGGAUUAGCUAGUUGGUGAGGUAAUGGCUCACCAAGGCGACGAUCCUUAGCUGGUGAGAGAAUGACCAGCCACACUGGGACUGAGACACGGCCCAGACUCCUACGGGAGGCAGCAGUGGGGAAUCUUGGACAAUGGGCGCAAGCCUGAUCCAGCCAUGCCGCGUGAGUGACGAAGGUCUUCGGAUUGUAAAGCUCUUUUGCCAGGGACGAUAAUGACGGUACCUGGAGAAUAAGCCCCGGCUAACUUCGUGCCAGCCGCCGCAGUAAC
RNAcentral lists this ribosomal RNA (446 nucleotides) under uncultured bacterium. RNAcentral's name for it is "bacterial SSU rRNA". It matches the Rfam family "Bacterial small subunit ribosomal RNA", at positions 29 to 524 of the family's 1533-position model. The record is from RNAcentral.